GUGCCAGCAGCCGCGGUAAUACGUAGGGGGCAAGCGUUGUCCGGAUUUAUUGGGCGUAAAGAGCUCGUAGGCGGCUGGUCACGUCGGAUGUGAAAGCUCAAAGCUCAACUUUGAGAGGCCAUUCGAUACGGAUCAGCUAGAGGUAGGUAGGGGAAAGUGGAAUUCCUGGUGUAGCGGUGAAAUGCGCAGAUAUCAGGAGGAACACCGGUGGCGAAGGCGGCUUUCUGGGCCUUACCUGACGCUGAGGAGCGAAAGCUGGGGGAGCGAACAGGAUUAGAUACCCUGGUAGUCC
This 292-nucleotide ribosomal RNA is filed under the name uncultured bacterium. RNAcentral describes it as "partial 16S ribosomal RNA". It matches the Rfam family "Bacterial small subunit ribosomal RNA", at positions 505 to 796 of the family's 1533-position model. The record is from RNAcentral.